AGGCGGGGCUUCAAUGCUCCUAUAUAGGCCGGGCCCACUGAGAGGCGGCGUCAUUCAACAGCUGCUCCUUAGAAUGGUCUGCUGAUCUUCUGUCUUGGUACCAACUUGCUCACCCCGAAACUUUUGGCCUCAACAAACCAGGGCACUGGAUCCAACAAACUGGCCACAAGAGUGAAAAAGCAAGAAAAUGAUGAUGAGGUACGAGAUGGAUGCCCUGGAGAGGGAGUGCCGAUGCCCAGCACGGUCCACUGGUCAUGCAGAGGCAGGGGUUUCUGAUGAAGAGGUAAUCAAGGUGGAUUACCAUCUCAACAGAAACCAUUUCCUGUGAGUUAUAUCCCAGACUGUGGACAUGAUGUGAGAUGAAAGAAAGCAAUUUCUGGGCAAAAGAUGUUUUUGUUUUUUCCCUCCAACCCUAGUCUCUGUGUGCUAAUUUUGGUGUCCCAGGCUUGGGUGUGCUGUGAAGGUCACAGCUACAGAACAUCAAUUAGGCAUCCCUGUGUUUGGAGUAAAAAAAAAAUCCUCCCUCUCUGAUUGCUGGUCACAAGUCAGCAAAACUACAGUCAAAAAGGAAACAGGACAACUCCUUCCAGCUACCCUGCAGAACCAAGAAUCUCCAAACCCACUGCUCAACUGCCAAAGUCAGCUCUACUGGAAUCACAGCUUAACAGCCACAACGUUUCGCCAUCUAGUUCUCACGGACAAGCCAAAGACUGAUUUGUAUAUCUUGUUUUUAACCUUUAUUUCCGAACUCACUUCUCAUUUCUAAUCUGUGUGUAUGUGUGUUGCGUUUUUAUUAUUUUUUUCUUGCAUUUUAGUAACUAAUAAAGUCACUCUUUCUUUGACUCAAAAAAGCCUGAUUAACUUGGCUCCUUUCAAAAUAUAAAUACAUCUGGACUGGGAAAAGGUAUCCACAAGGGCAGGGAUCCUUUUUAAAUUAGCCUUAUUGCGACCAACGGAGGGGGUUGAAUAAAGAGGAGCCAGUUCAUCCUUCCUCACCUGGGAGCACAACAAUUUGGGGUACCUCAUCCAGGGUCAUAACAAAUUGGGGGAACCUCACAUGGGAGUCAGUCAUAACAAGACGGAAGCAAAUGUCGUGUUCUUCUUUCAGUUUCAUUUCCCCUGUUAAAAAUGGAGAAAAAAUACUAACCAUGGAUAGAAAAUUGGUUGAAAUGUUGUGUGUCCAAAAUAGCCGGAGCAUACCAAGCAUGCAUCAGAGGAUGAAGCAAGUUGUGGCCCCUAUU
This is a long non-coding RNA of Carcharodon carcharias (great white shark), 1241 nucleotides long. RefSeq lists it as uncharacterized. The transcript has 3 exons. Lineage: Eukaryota; Metazoa; Chordata; Chondrichthyes; Lamniformes; Lamnidae. The record is from RefSeq and is a predicted model, not a curated record.